This is a long non-coding RNA of Salmo salar (Atlantic salmon), 1009 nucleotides long. RefSeq lists it as uncharacterized. The record is from RefSeq and is a predicted model, not a curated record. Lineage: Eukaryota; Metazoa; Chordata; Actinopteri; Salmoniformes; Salmonidae.
CUAGGUAACAGCAAUUGUCUUUAAUUUGGUAAGGUUCAGUACACAUUUGGCGUUUUAGACAUUUGGACUUCUGAAGAAUACAAAAAUAUGUUUUCAUGAGUUCACUCAUGUUCCGUAGAUUGAGACUUGAGAGAAAGAGAUGGGGAGCAAUUGCUCCAAAGGGAGGAGAGAGGAGAGGGACAUUACCACUUUCUCCAAAAAGAGAAGUUUGUCUUUGGGAAGAAAAAAGGAGUACACUGAAGGGAGGAAAGCAGAGGGCAACAGUGGAGAAACGCUCUUUCAACAAAGGUCAGACCAAUUUCCCUGAAAUGGUUCAAGUCAGUUUUGCCUUGUGUUGUAGUACCAGGUUGAGGACAUAGAGGCCAGUGUUACCUCUAUCUCUCAUUGUCUCUCCUAGUCUUCCUGGCCUACAAUCCCCAGUCUCCCCAGCCUACAAUCCCCAGUCUCCCCAGCCUACAAUCCCCAGUCUCCCCAGCCUACAAUCCCCAGUCUCCCCAGUCUACAAUCCCCAGUCCCCCCAGACCGACAAUCCCCAGUCUUCCCAGCCUACAAUCCCCAGUCUUCCCUCACAGCUGAGGGUGGAAGCAGUCUAUGUGCCCCAGUGAUCAGCAAUAAGGAAGUAGGAGGUAACAUCAACAUCACUCAGAACAACACUCAGAACAACGAUGACUCCUCCCAGGUUGCACAAUGCAGUGCCACGCUAAAAGGUGAGUUGCGUGGUGGUCUGUCUCCAGUAUCCAGAGAGACCCAGAGCGCAUCAAGGAACACACACUACCACCACAAUAUGAAGAUAAAGACAACACAAAGAAGACACAAUACAUAAUGAAUGAUAAAUACAUCUGCUUAAUGCAUUAUUAUGAUGCAUGACAUAGGAGCUAACAGGUUAUUUUGCAUUGCGUAUUAUGCAGAUGAAUGCACAUAUAAUGCAUUAUGAAGAGGGUAUUCAUAGGAGGUGUUACCAUAGGAGGUGUUACCAUAGGAGGUGUUACCAUAGCCAUAGGAGGUGUUA